UCCCUGGAGGACUAGUGGUUAGGCCACAGCGCUCUCACCACCGCAGCCCGGGUUCGACUCCCGGCCAGGGAA
RNAcentral lists this transfer RNA (72 nucleotides) under Pangasianodon hypophthalmus (striped catfish). It matches the Rfam family "tRNA". Rfam says of the family: Transfer RNA (tRNA) molecules are approximately 80 nucleotides in length. Their secondary structure includes four short double-helical elements and three loops (D, anti-codon, and T loops). Lineage: Eukaryota; Metazoa; Chordata; Actinopteri; Siluriformes; Pangasiidae. The record is from Rfam by way of RNAcentral.